RNAcentral lists this ribosomal RNA (816 nucleotides) under uncultured sulfate-reducing bacterium. RNAcentral describes it as "bacterial SSU rRNA". It matches the Rfam family "Bacterial small subunit ribosomal RNA", at positions 8 to 801 of the family's 1533-position model. The record is from RNAcentral.
AGAGUUUGAUCUGGCUCAGAAUGAACGCUGGCGGCGUGCUUAACACAUGCAAGUCGAACGAGAAAGAGAUUGCUUGCAAUCUUGAGUAGAGUGGCGCACGGGUGAGUAACACGUAGAUAAUCUACCUUCAAGCCCGGGAUAACCAUUCGAAAGGAUGGCUAAUACCGGAUGCAGUGCAUACACAAAAGCGUAUGURUGAAAGAUUGCCUCUUCUUAGAAAGCAGUUGUUUGGAGAUGAGUUUGCGUACCAUUAGCUUGUUGGUGGGGUAAGGGCCUACCAAGGCUGUGAUGGUUAGCUGGUCUGAGAGGAUGAUCAGUCACACUGGAACUGGAACACGGUCCAGACUCCUACGGGAGGCAACAGUGAGGAAUUUUGCGCACUGGGGGAAACCCUGACGCAGCAACGCCGCGUGAGUGAAGAAGGCCCUUGGGUCGUAAAGCUCUGUCAACCGGGAAGAAGUUAUUCAUUAUUAACAGUGGUGGAUAUUGACGGUACCGGUGGAGGAAGCGCCGGCUAACUCCGUGCCAGCAGCCGCGGUAACACGGGGGGCGCAAGCGUUAUUCGGAAUUAUUGGGCGUAAAGGGCGCGUAGGCGGUUCUGUCGGUCAGAUGUGAAAGCCCGGGGCUCAACCCUGGAAGUGCAUUUGAAACAGCAUACUUGAGUACGGGAGAGGAAAGCGGAAUUCCUGGUGUAGAGGUGAAAUUCGUAGAUAUCAGAGAACACCGAUGGCGAAGGCUGCUUUCUGGACCGAUACUGACGCUGAKGCGCGAAGGCGUGGGUAGCGAACAGGAUUAGAUACCCUGGUAGUCCACGCA